CUCCUAACCUCAGAUUAUCCACCCGCCUCGGCCUCCCAAAGUGCUGGGAUUAUAGGCGUGAGCCACUGCACCCAGCUUCUUCAACAAUUACUAAGUGAACACCUCUUCCCUGCCAGAAACCAUUCUGAGUACUGAAAUGUAAUGAAUAAAUCACGCCAAAAUCCCUGCCCUCAAGGAGUUUAUGUUGCAAAGAUUUCAAAAGGCAUACAAUGAAAUGAACCAAUUUUGUGUAUGUUAAUGUCUUUCAGUCUUAUUUGACUUUGAACUUCUUUUUCUGUGAACACCCCCAAAAACAAUAUUCAAAGGAAUACCAUUAUGGAAACACAGUUUGUUUCCAUCUUUCUAAAUUAAAGGUUAUUUCUUGCCUUUUAAGUACUUUUUGCCUCUUAAGGAUGUUUUUCUCCAGUUUGUCCCAUAAAUUUUGAAAUACUUUUCUUGUGUAUAUGUAGGAGAAAAUAUAUAUAUUCCUAUUUCUUUAAAUAUUUGCGUAUUUAUAUGUGUAAUAAAUGCAUACAUAUGAAUACGUAUAUAUACACGUGCAAUAUAUGAUAUAUAUUUAGGUACAGUACAAAUACGAGGUUUUGCAUUUUACUGUGUGCAUUAUGCAUCCUUUAAUGCCAUCUCAUCUAACAUUUUCUCUGUGGUGUCUUUCUUGACUACUUGUAGUAUAAUUAAUCUCAUUUAUAUUUAUGCUCCAGUAACACAAUGUGUGCACUUCUAUUUACAAUACUUGCUAUAUUUGUAAUUAUUUAUUCCCUAUUUUCCAACCUAGAAUAAAUUCUUCAGUGUCACAGAGGGACCAAGGUCACAUCUUUGUAUUGCUGUGAUCUUAAAGCCUGGCCUGUAGUAGGUGCUUGAUGAGUAUUUGUUGAAUUGAGUUCAAUAAAUAUCAUGAAAAUUAAUUUUCAGGUUUAUGAUUUUGAUGUUCUUAAUUUAGACUGUAGCUUUAUAAGCUUUAUAAUCAUACUAAAGAUGUUUUACGUUUUUCCUGUAGGUUACAGUGUACAGCAUGUAUGUUUCUAUAAUGGCUUUCAAUGCAAAGGUUAGUGAUCCACUUAUUGGAGGAACAUACAUGACCCUUUUAAAUACCGUGUCCAAUCUGGGAGGAAACUGGCCUUCUACAGUAGCUCUUUGGCUUGUAGAUCCCCUCACAGUAAAAGAGUGUGUAGGAGCAUCAAACCAGAAUUGUCGAACACCUGAUGCUGUUGAGCUUUGCAAAAAACUGGGUGGCUCAUGUGUUACAGCCCUGGAUGGUUAUUAUGUGGAGUCCAUUAUUUGUGUUUUCAUUGGAUUUGGUUGGUGGUUCUUUCUUGGUCCAAAAUUUAAAAAGUUACAGGAUGAAGGAUCAACUUCAUGGAAAUGCAAAAGGAGCAAUUAAUAUAUACACUACUGGACAUUCUAGAAAGGUAAUUGUAGUUUAGUUUUAAUUCGGAGAGCAAUGAUAAUCAGUGCACAGGAAUAUAAAAUACUAUUUUAAACAGCGAAAUUAAUAAUAUAAAAUGCCAAAUGGUUGAAAAAAUAGAAACCUCUCUGUAUAUUUGAUCAUAAUUUUUCUUUGCCUUGUCCAUGUGUUUAAAGUUUACUUAAGGUCAGGAAAUUCUAAAACUUUUCUGGCCUCGUUAUUUGAUUUAUAUCUUUUAAAUGUACUGACCAAAGCAUGUUUUAAGCUGCAAUGCAGUAGUCAUGGGUGGUAACCAUGUAGUUAAGUAUAGUUAUUAGUACCUAUCACUGCUGGAUCUGUAUUUAAAAUUGUGGUACAAUAUAUAAAAUGGAGAAGAACUUGAUAUUCAGGUACUAACCACAACUAGUCUGACAUUGUUGGCAGUUAAAAUGUUAUUUUGAAUUGUAAAUUAGUUAAAUUUUAUGUGGAAUUUGCUGAGAAGAGAAUAUAGACUACUGAAAUGUCAUUUUAGUUAUUUUUCUUAUGACCAUAUUGUACAAAUGAAUCUGUGUUAAAAAGACUAUUUUAAAUGUAUUUCCUGCUUUUGUAAGCAUUAAAGAUUUAUAAGAAAAUUAUUCAAACUAUUUUUUAUAAAAUGAAAGUUAUGAUUUUUAAACUUAUUGAUUACUCUUGUCCCUACCCCCUCUUUUUGGAAGAUAUUUUGAUUCCUUAUAAGCUUUUACCCUAAGCUUACAUAUAUUUUCUGUCACAAGUGCUUCAUGGCACACAGACAGCCAAUGGAGGGGAUCAAAUUCAGUGUUGGAUGUAUGUUUAUGGCAACAUUUUGAAAAUAAAAAUUAAAUGUUAUUCUUCAA
Molecule: long non-coding RNA, 2256 nt
Organism: Piliocolobus tephrosceles (Ugandan red Colobus)
Lineage: Eukaryota; Metazoa; Chordata; Mammalia; Primates; Cercopithecidae
Exons: 2
Source: RefSeq, a predicted model, not a curated record